AUAACAAGAUUGCCGAAGACAGCAGGUGCCGCAAGGCGUAACAGCAAUGGCCUGCCGAGGAGCUUACAAGCAGUGAUACUGCUGUAAAUGGAAAAGAAAUUUUCUAAGCCUCUUUGUCUCGGACAAAGGGGCUUUUUAUCUG
This 142-nucleotide small RNA is filed under the name human gut metagenome. RNAcentral's name for it is "Ribosomal protein L10 leader". It matches the Rfam family "Ribosomal protein L10 leader". Rfam says of the family: This family is a putative r-protein leader autoregulatory structure found in B. subtilis and other low-GC Gram-positive bacteria. It is located in the 5' untranslated regions of mRNAs encoding ribosomal proteins L10 and L12 (rplJ-rplL). The record is from RNAcentral.